This 1290-nucleotide ribosomal RNA is filed under the name Triticum aestivum (bread wheat). RNAcentral's name for it is "partial small subunit ribosomal RNA". Lineage: Eukaryota; Viridiplantae; Streptophyta; Magnoliopsida; Poales; Poaceae. The record is from RNAcentral.
AUGGCGAGCGGGGUGGAUAGCAUCAGCGCCCUCCCGGACGACGUCCUCCACAGCGUACUCCGUUUACUUCCGGCUGAAGAGGUGGUGCGGACGUGCGUUCUCGCCCGGCGCUGGCGCGGCGUCUGGAGGUCCAUGCCCUCCCUCCGCUUCAACGGCGCCGAGGGGUGGGGCAGUGCCGACAGAUUCGCCCAGUUCGUGGACCACCUCCUCCACCUCAGAUUCGGGGGCGACGGGGGCGCAAGGCCGCCUCUGGAUUCCUGUGAAUUCGACUUCGAUGCCGACGGGUUCAUGCAAUUGCCGGCUAACGAGCGGCACGCGAGCCACUGGAUCUGGCAAGCCGUGCCCCAUGUCCGGGUGCUCCGGCUUCAUGUCGUCGAGUUUGAGCAGGAACCCUCACCCCUAUCUGAUCUGCGUCUCGUUUCCCAGCACCUCACGAGAUUAGAUCUUGUUGGUGUAGCUGUCAACGACAGCGUUAUGGAUUUUUCAGGCUGUCCGGCGUUGGUGGAACUGAGUAUGGAGGUUUGCGAUGUUUUCGCCAACCAGCUGUUGUCUCCAUCCUUGAAGCACCUGCGCAUUGCCCGCUGCUUUACUGCCGAGGAUACUCGCAUUCUUAUUUCUCUACCAAGUCUCGUUUCGCUCGAGUUGAUUGUAUGCCGCCAAGGAAGGAGCCCAUUGCUCGGAAGCAUGCCGCUAUUAGCAAGAGCUGUUGUUGUACUUAAGAAUGAUUGUGCUGAUCGGUGCUUUAAGGGUCGAUUUAAUGAUUGUGGUGAUACAUGUUAUGGUUGUCGUUAUUAUUAUGGAGAUCCUGAAUUUGGACCUACUUAUGACCGCAACGACAGCAUAUUUCUCAAAGGUUUGUCCGAGGCUACGGACUUGGAGCUGUCUGCUGAUUCUGAUGUGAUUCUUUUUGACAGGGAUUUGAAGCGGUGCCCUACAUUUACCAAGUUAAAAACUUUGUUACUCAAUGACUGGUGCUUGGCUGCUGGCCACAAUGCACUAAUCUGUUUUCUCCAGCACUCACCAAUUUUGGAGAAGCUUACACUUCAACUUUCUAAGGGACCUUCAUAUGUAAGUGAAACACAAGGAAUAUACAAACCAUUGGGACAGUCAGUUGCAUCCCAUUGUCUUAAGAUAGUUGAAAUCAAAUGUGCAAAUGUUGAUAGUAAGGUUCACAGACUUUUGAAGAUAUUGACUACCUAUGGCAUACGCCUUGAGCAAAUUAGGGUCAAACAAACUAGCAGAAUUUCUGGAUCUGAAUGCUUCAACUUUGUUUGCACUGAUUUCAGCUAA